CUGCGCCACAAGUGGCAAUCAGUAUUAUUGGGCCUAAAGCGUUCGUAGCCGGAUUAAUAAGUUCUCUGUGAAAUCAUCGAGCUUAACUCGAUGGCGUGCGGAGAAUACUGUUAGUCUAGGAACCGGGAAGAGUAAGAAGUAUUCUGGGGGGAGCGGUAAAAUGGUAUAAUCCCCAGAGGACUACCGAUGGCGAAGGCAUCUGACCAGAACAGAUCCGACGGUGAGGGACGAAAGCCAGGGGAGCAAACCGGAUUAGAUACCCGAGUAGUCC
RNAcentral lists this ribosomal RNA (271 nucleotides) under uncultured archaeon. RNAcentral describes it as "partial 16S ribosomal RNA". It matches the Rfam family "Archaeal small subunit ribosomal RNA", at positions 477 to 747 of the family's 1478-position model. The record is from RNAcentral.